RNAcentral lists this long non-coding RNA (893 nucleotides) under Brassica napus (rape). RNAcentral describes it as "long non-coding RNA (BNAP_LNC004224)". The record is from RNAcentral. Lineage: Eukaryota; Viridiplantae; Streptophyta; Magnoliopsida; Brassicales; Brassicaceae.
UUUAUCAUAAAAAGCUUGAGAACGACAAUGGAUUUACCCCAGAUACAAAGUUUAGUGUUAGAAGGGGGCAAAGAUGUUUUCAGCAAACCAGAAGCUACUAGAAGGAAGUGCCUUCUGGAGGUUGAACAAGCUUACGGUUAUGCGACGCAGUCAUUUCCUUCUUCAGCUGUACCAGUAUAUCUUCCAUUGUGUACUCCCUUUGCCAGUUCGCAAGAAGCCCGAACUUCUUGGGAUCCACCUAUACAUUACAGAUGCAUAUUCAGACAUAAGUUACCGAAAGGAACGAGACAGAGAAUUGGCAGGGUGAUGAUUUUUAUGUGUACCACUCCUGUUUCAUGGUUGACACAAGUCAUGUUGAUACGUGAAUGGAACCGGACAGUGGGAGGUUUCUCAGGGUAAUCUUUGUCACAAAAGAGCUUCAACUGAUAGAUCCUACCUUCAUGAACAGUCUGCUCAUAGAAGAAGAUAAAAAAAAAAAAAAAAUAGAUAUCUGUAAGGACAAGCAGAAACAAGAACCUUAGUGCUAAAGAAAAAAGCUUAGGAUAAGAGCAUUGAUCAAUGCUUAUUAAAAGGAGAAAGAUAUAAGUACGUUGUGAGGAGCGAUGAUAGUGCCAGUCCAAGAGCGCAUGUAAAUGUCAUCACCAUAUUUUUUUUUAUCAUAAAAAGCUUGAGAACGACAAUGGAUUUACCCCAGAUACAAAGUUUAGUGUUAGAAGGGGGCAAAGAUGUUUUCAGCAAACCAGAAGCUACUAGAAGGAAGUGCCUUCUGGAGGUUGAACAAGCUUACGGUUAUGCGACGCAGUCAUUUCCUUCUUCAGCUGUACCAGUAUAUCUUCCAUUGUGUACUCCCUUUGCCAGUUCGCAAGAAGCCCGAACUUCUUGGGAUCCACCUA